AUGCGUGAUCAGGUCGGCAUCAACCUGGACGUCUUCCCCCUCGACCAUGAGUUCCUGGACGACUAUGGGCUAGAGGAAGAGGACGAGUGCGACAUCAAAGUGGAGCCUUUGUUCGAGGACGAGCUCGCCAACCAAAACGCCGGUCCAAAGCCGAAGCGCAAGAGCAAGCGCACGAAGGCGUACACAGCUGCCGAGGACAAGCUUCUUUACGAGUGUUGGCGAGACAUUGGACAAGACCCAAAGACGGGCGCCGAGCAAAAGCAUUCAACCUUUUGGACUCGUGUGCACCUCGAGUUUCAUGAGCGCAAGAAGUUUCCACCCUACCAAUUUGUGAGCACGCGCGGGUGGGUCUCCAUUUCCAAGCGGUGGAGGGUGAUCCAACAAGAGUGCAACAAGUUUUGUGCCACCCUUGAGAGCGUUAAGGCCCGCCCCGUGAGCGGCAUCGGCGUGCAAGACAUGGUAUGAUUGCAAGCAAGUCGGCCUCUUCUGUGCCAUCAAGAUCAUUCUUUUACGUCUUCAUUUGCUAUCACUUGCCCAUAUGCUUGCAUGGAAAUAUUUUGUAGGCAUUUCAAGCUUUGGAGGCAUUCAAGGUUCAACACAAUGGCAAGUGCUUCAACCUCUCCCAUUGCUAUCGGGUCAUCAAGGACGAAGAGAAGUUCAAGGCACAAUAUGCCGCGCUCAAGGCACGUGGGGGGAAGGGUGCCGUGGAGGAUGUUGGGGAGGGCGAGCCGGCACGACCGCGGGGAAGACCAACUCCAAGAAGGAGGACAAGCGAGAUGCGGCCACCAACGCCUUGAUCGCAAGUGUGGACGGCAUGAUGAAUAA
Molecule: ribosomal RNA, 825 nt
Filed under: Triticum aestivum (bread wheat)
Lineage: Eukaryota; Viridiplantae; Streptophyta; Magnoliopsida; Poales; Poaceae
Description: partial small subunit ribosomal RNA
Source: RNAcentral